Molecule: ribosomal RNA, 253 nt
Filed under: uncultured bacterium
Lineage: Bacteria
Description: partial 16S ribosomal RNA
Rfam family: Bacterial small subunit ribosomal RNA
Source: RNAcentral
UACGUAGGGUGCGAGCGUUAAUCGGAAUUACUGGGCGUAAAGCGUGCGCAGGCGGUUUUGUAAGCCAGAUGGGAAAUCCCCGGGCUCAACCUGGGAAUGGCGAUGGAUACUGGCUCGCUAGAGUGCGGUAGAGGAGAGUGGAAUUCCCGGUGUAGCAGUGAAAUGCGUAGAGAUCGGGAGGAACAUCAGUUGCGAAGGCGGCUCUCUGGACCAGCACUGACACUGAGGCACGAAAGCGUGGGGAGCAAACAGG